RNAcentral lists this ribosomal RNA (119 nucleotides) under Vigna angularis (adzuki bean). The record is from RNAcentral. Lineage: Eukaryota; Viridiplantae; Streptophyta; Magnoliopsida; Fabales; Fabaceae.
AGGUGCGAUCAUACCAGCACUAAUGCACCGGAUCCCAUCAGAACUCCGCAGUUAAGUGUGUUUGGGCGAGAGUAGUACUAGGAUGGGUGACCUCCUGGGAAGUCCUCUUGUUGCACCUC